CCUACGGGAGGCAGCAGUGAGGAAUAUUGGUCAAUGGACGAGAGUCUGAACCAGCCAAGUAGCGUGAAGGAUGACCGCCCUAUGGAUUGUAAACUUCUUUUAUAUGGGAAUAACAUGUUCCACGUGUGGGAUUUUGUAUGUACCAUAUGAAUAAGGAUCGGCUAACUCCGUGCCAGCAGCCGCGGUAAUACGGAGGAUCCGAGCGUUAUCCGGAUUUAUUGGGUUUAAAGGGAGCGUAGGUGGAUUGUUAAGUCAGUUGUGAAAGUUUGCGGCUCAACCGUAAAAUUGCAGUUGAAACUGGCAGUCUUGAGUACAGUAGAGGUGGGCGGAAUUCGUGGUGUAGCGGUGAAAUGCUUAGAUAUCACGAAGAACUCCGAUUGCGAAGGCAGUUCACUGGACUGCAACUGACACUGAGGCUCGAAAGUGUGGGUAUCAAACAGGAUUAGAUACCCCAGUAGUC
Molecule: ribosomal RNA, 460 nt
Filed under: uncultured bacterium
Lineage: Bacteria
Description: partial 16S ribosomal RNA
Rfam family: Bacterial small subunit ribosomal RNA
Source: RNAcentral